RNAcentral lists this long non-coding RNA (582 nucleotides) under Erythranthe guttata (spotted monkey flower). RNAcentral describes it as "long non-coding RNA (EGUT_LNC000062)". Lineage: Eukaryota; Viridiplantae; Streptophyta; Magnoliopsida; Lamiales; Phrymaceae. The record is from RNAcentral.
UUUGAGGAAAUGUCUGACAAAGGAUCAUAGAAACUGAAAUGAAAAUUGCACAAGGUAGCUGUCUAUGAAAAAUUUUGUGUUUGAAGUUCAAGGAUCUAGUACAAUUGUUGAAUCCUUUGAAAAUGUAUUGGAGAAAUAGAAUAUGUUGAUGAUAAAUGAAGUGGAGCAUGAUAAAUUCAUGUUUCAUAGCAAGGAGGAAUCCCCUUUGAUUAAAGUGGCAAAUGUACUGUUUGAUCAGCUUUAUGAGGGAAAUGAGCUUAUGGAAACGAAGGCUGAAAAUGGUACAAUGAAGGAUUGCUCAAUUCAUUUGUUACGUGACUAUGGCUGGGAAGUAGAAUUACUUGAAGGUGUUGUAAUUUCAGUUCGAUUUGUACCUGAAGUAUUAAGGAUGCGGACAAAUGUUUAUGCAAAAGAGGAUUUUCGAUCUACAAGGAUCAACAUUGGUUUGAUAAUCUUAUGGCAAGCUUAUUCCCAAGUGGGGUUGUUACCGCGCACUAGAAAUGUCUGGCUGGGAUUGCUUCGUCCACCACCAGAACCACCUCCACAAGGCUCCAGAAUUUCACAAAUAAGCACUCCACUCCA